AGAGUUUGAUCCUGGCUCAGAGUCAACGCUGGCGGCAGUGCCUCAGACAUGCAAGUCGAACGAUUAAAGCUCCCUUCGGGGAGUGCAUAAAGUGGCGCACGGGGAGUAACACGUAAGUAAUCUACCCUCGGGUGGGGAAUAACGUUCGGAAACGAACGCUAAUACCGCAUAAUGCAGCGGGCACCGCAAGGUGACAGGUGUUAAAGAUUUAUUGCCUGGGGGAAGGAGCUUGCGGCAAAUUAACUUGGUUGGUAAGGAACCGGCUUACCCAAGGCUAACAAACUGGUUUCCGUCUAAAAAGAACGGCCGGACACCCCGGCCCUUGAAAAACGGGGCCAAAUCCCACCGGGAAGGAACAUCGGGAAUUUUUGGGCAAGGGGGGAAAACCCUGACCCACCAACCCCCCCGUGAAAGAAGAAAAAAUUUUCGGGUGGUAAAUUUCCAAAAAAAUAAGAAAGAAUUAUGGCCGGGACUAUUUUUUUAAGGGCCCGGGUAAAUACUUGCCGCCAACCCCGGGAAAAACUAAGGACCACACCGUUUUUCGAAUUUUCUGGGGCUAAAGGGCGCGUAAGCGGCGCGGGAAAUCACUUGUGAAAUCUUCUGAGCUUAACUCCAAAAGGCCAAUGAUAUUCCCGGUUAAUGUGGGAAGGGCAAUCGCAAAUCUUUGUGUAUCGGUGAAUGCGUUAUAUUCAGAGGAGCAACCCACGUGAAGAACGGUUGCUGUGUCCCCACCCUCACCCCUUUAAGCCGCAAACCAUGGGACCAACGUAGUUCACUCCCCGGUUCGUCCUGCCUUACCGAUGAUUGCGUGGGUUGUCGGAGUUAAUUGCUUCGGCUGCUGUCGCUACGUUAUUAGUACUCCCGGCGUGGGGAGCUACACUCGCAAGAGUGAUACUCAAGGAUUGACGGGACCCCGCACAGGCGGUGGCACGCAUGUUGUUUUAUUGCGACGCAGCGGCGAAGCAUCUUCACUUAGGAUUAGAAUGUGAGGGAAUUGUUGGGUAACCGCCCACCAGUCGGGGACACCCAGACCCAAACCAGGCUGCUGCAUGCCUGUCGUCAGCUCGUUGUCGUGAGAUGUUGGGAUAAGUCCCCGCAACGAGCGCACUCUUUAUCAACAGUUGCCAUCAUUAAGUUGGAAUCUCUGUUGAGACUGCCGUUGAUAAACCGGAGGAAGGUGGGGAUGAUGUCCAAGUCAUCCAUGCCCUUUAUGCUUAGGGCUACACACGUGCUACAAUGGAUGGUACAAAACGUCGCAAUCUCGUAAGAGGGAGCUAAUCGCGAAAACCAUUCUCAGUUCGGAUUGAAGUCUGCAACUCGACUUCAUGAAGUUGGAAUCGCUAGUAAUCGCAGAUCAGAACGCUGCGGUGAAUACGUUCCCGGGUCUUGUACACACCGCCCGUCACAUCACGAAAGUAGGUUGUACUAGAAGUAGCUGGGCCAACUCGCAAGAGAGGCAGGUUACCACGGUAUGAUUUAUGAUUGGGGUGAAGUCGUAACAAGGUAACC
Molecule: ribosomal RNA, 1509 nt
Filed under: uncultured bacterium
Lineage: Bacteria
Description: partial 16S ribosomal RNA
Rfam family: Bacterial small subunit ribosomal RNA
Source: RNAcentral